Molecule: ribosomal RNA, 363 nt
Filed under: uncultured soil bacterium
Lineage: Bacteria
Description: bacterial SSU rRNA
Rfam family: Bacterial small subunit ribosomal RNA
Source: RNAcentral
AGAAUGAACGCUGGCGGCGCGCCUAAUACAUGCAAGUCGAGCGAGAAGACGUAGCAAUACGUUUGUAAAGCGGCGAACGGGUGAGGAAUACAUGGGUAACCUACCCUCGAGUGGGGAAUAACUAGCCGAAAGGUUAGCUAAUACCGCGUACGCUCCUUGGACUUCGGUUCAGGGAGGAAAGCGAUACCGUGGGUAUCGCGCUCUUGGUUGGGCUCAUGUCCUAUCAGCUUGUUGGUGAGGUAACGGCUCACCAAGGCUUCGACGGGUAGCUGGUCUGAGAGGACGAUCAGCCACACUGGCACUGCGACACGGGCCAGACUCCUACGGGAGGCAGCAGUAAGGAUAUUGCGCAAUGGGCGAAAG